AUUACACUGUUUAUCAUUAUUUCUUUCAGAAGCUUAGACUUUAUGAUCAGUGGACCAAGCUUUAUGAAAUAUGUCUAUGAAAGCGACGACAUGAAUAGAACUGAUGUGAUCAAAAUUAGUGUUGACUGGACACCAAAACCUCCAGACCAAAUAGCAGACUUUCAGUUUUGUGUUUGGGGCGUAGAUAACAUGGGAUUGAUGUCGAAAUCAAGGUGUGUUCUAGACAUAAUAUUUGAUGACGAUAAUUGUAAUCACGUGAUAUGUGAAAAUAAAGGAAUAUGUCGGAAUAUAUUUGAUAAUGCA
Molecule: long non-coding RNA, 303 nt
Organism: Dreissena polymorpha
Lineage: Eukaryota; Metazoa; Mollusca; Bivalvia; Myida; Dreissenidae
Exons: 3
Source: RefSeq, a predicted model, not a curated record